RNAcentral lists this ribosomal RNA (497 nucleotides) under uncultured bacterium. RNAcentral's name for it is "partial 16S ribosomal RNA". It matches the Rfam family "Bacterial small subunit ribosomal RNA", at positions 28 to 507 of the family's 1533-position model. The record is from RNAcentral.
GAUGAACGCUGGCGGCGUGCCUAAUACAUGCAAGUCGAGCGAACAGACGAGGAGCUUGCUCCUCUUACGUUAGCGGCGGACGGGUGAGUAACACGUGGAUAACCUACCUAUAAGACUGGGAUAACUUCGGGAAACCUGAGCUAAUACCGGAUAAUAUAUUGAACCGCAUGGUUCAAUAGUGAAAGACGGUUUUGCUGUCACUUAUAGAUGGAUCCUCGCCGCAUUAGCUAGUUGGUAAGGUAACGGCUUACCAAGGCAACGAUGCGUAGCCGACCUGAGAGGGUGAUCGGCCACACUGGAACUGAGACACGGUCCAGACUCCUACGGGAGGCAGCAGUGGGGAAUCUUCGGCAAUGGGCGAAAGCUUGACGGAGCAACGCCGCGUGAGUGAUGAAGGUCUUCGGAUCGUAAAACUCUGUUAGUAGGGAAGAACAAAUGUGUAAGUAACUAUGCACGUCUUGACGGUACCUAAUCAGAAAGCCACGGCUAACUACGUG